AAGUCGUCACAAGGUUUCCGUAGGUGAACCUGCGGAAGGAUCAUUGUCAUUGAUUGUGCAAUGAUAGCGCUUCUACGAUUCCUGUAGACCGUACACUCGGGCAGGAGGUUUGCCAAAGGGUCCCCAUGCCCCCUAAUAACCCCACAGUUUAAUGUGAAGCUCAAUGUAAUACAUUGGGUAAAAAAACCGAACAACUGUUAACAAUGGAUAUCUUGGUUCUC
This 221-nucleotide unclassified non-coding RNA is filed under the name fungal sp. Its description in RNAcentral is "partial internal transcribed spacer region". The stretch from base 1 to 46 matches the Rfam family "Eukaryotic small subunit ribosomal RNA", at positions 1786 to 1831 of the family's 1831-position model. The record is from RNAcentral. Lineage: Eukaryota; Fungi.